This 235-nucleotide ribosomal RNA is filed under the name uncultured bacterium. RNAcentral's name for it is "partial 16S ribosomal RNA". It matches the Rfam family "Bacterial small subunit ribosomal RNA", at positions 542 to 776 of the family's 1533-position model. The record is from RNAcentral.
UGUCCGGAAUUAUUGGGCGUAAAGAGCUCGUAGGCGGUUUGUCGCGUCUGCUGUGAAAACUCGGGGCUUAACCCCGGGCCUGCAGUGGGUACGGGCAGACUAGAGUGCGGUAGGGGAGACUGGAAUUCCUGGUGUAGCGGUGAAAUGCGCAGAUAUCAGGAGGAACACCGGUGGCGAAGGCGGGUCUCUGGGCCGUAACUGACGCUGAGGAGCGAAAGCGUGGGGAGCGAACAGG